RNAcentral lists this ribosomal RNA (502 nucleotides) under Astropecten polyacanthus. RNAcentral describes it as "partial 16S ribosomal RNA". It matches the Rfam family "Bacterial large subunit ribosomal RNA", at positions 1921 to 2569 of the family's 2925-position model. The record is from RNAcentral. Lineage: Eukaryota; Metazoa; Echinodermata; Asteroidea; Paxillosida; Astropectinidae.
UGUNNNACGGCCGCGGUAUUUUGACCGUGCAAAGGUAGCAUAAUCAUUUGCCUUUUAAAUGGAGGCUAGUAUGAAUGGCAAGACGGAGGUUUAGCUGUCUCUCUUUUAGGAACUUGAAUUUAUUAUCCCCGUGAAGAAACGGGGAUAAAGUCGUAGGACGAGAAGACCCUAUCGAGCUUUAGCUAUAAAGUUAAAGUUAAAAGUUUUUUAUUUGUUGGGCUAAUAAAGUUAAGAAUUAAUUUUACCUAGAAAUAAAAAUAAAUUUUUAACAAGGUGCUUUGGUUGGGGCAACCGCGGAGAAAAAUUACCCUCCGCUUAUAAAAUAUAAAAACUACUGUUUUGUAAAAUCUAAAUUAUUAGUAAGUGAUCCACUGUGAAAGUGAUCAAAGGAAUAAGUUACCGUAGGGAUAACAGCGUAAUUUUUUUGGAGAGUUCAUAUUGAUAAAAAAGUUUGCGACCUCGAUGUUGGAUCGGGACUUCCAGGAGAUGCAGCAGUUCCAAG